RNAcentral lists this ribosomal RNA (301 nucleotides) under uncultured bacterium. RNAcentral describes it as "partial 16S ribosomal RNA". It matches the Rfam family "Bacterial small subunit ribosomal RNA", at positions 509 to 808 of the family's 1533-position model. The record is from RNAcentral.
CAGCCGCCGCGGUAAUACGUAGGGUGCGAGCGUUAAUCGGAAUUACUGGGCGUAAGGCGUGCGCAGGCGGUUGUGUAAGACAGGUGUGAAUCCCCGGGCUUAACCUGGGAACUGCGCUUGUGACUGCACAGCUAGAGUAUGGCAGAGGGGGGUGGAAUUCCACGUGUAGCAGUGGAAUGCGUAGAGAUGUGGAGGAACACCGAUGGCGAAGGCAGCCCCCUGGGCCAAUACUGACGCUCAUGCACGAAAGCGUGGGGAGCAAACAGGAUUAGAUACCCCAGUAGUCCCUGUCUCUUAUACA